CCUACGGGUGGCAGCAGUGAGGAAUAUUGGUCAAUGGGCGCGAGCCUGAACCAGCCAAGUCGCGUGAGGGAAGACGGUCCUAUGGAUUGUAAACCUCUUUUGUCGGGGAGCAAAAGACGCCACGCGUGGCGUUCCGAGAGUACCCGAAGAAAAAGCAUCGGCUACCUCCGUGCCAGCAGCCGCGGUAAUACGGAGGAUGCGAGCGUUAUCCGGAUUUAUUGGGUGUAAAGGGUGCGCAGGCGGUAGAGUAAGUCAGUGGUAAAAUUGAGGGGCUCAACCUCUUCGAGCCGUUGAGACUGGUAUUAUGGAGUGAGUGAGAGGUAUGCGGAAUGCGUGGUGUAGCGGUGAAAUGCGUAGAUAUCACGAAGAACUCCGAUUGCGAAGGCAGCAUACCGGCGCUCAACUGACGCUGAUGCACGAAAGUGUGGGUAUCAAACAGGAUUAGAUACCCUUGUAGUC
Molecule: ribosomal RNA, 459 nt
Filed under: uncultured bacterium
Lineage: Bacteria
Description: partial 16S ribosomal RNA
Rfam family: Bacterial small subunit ribosomal RNA
Source: RNAcentral